RNAcentral lists this ribosomal RNA (1192 nucleotides) under Staphylococcus aureus. RNAcentral describes it as "partial 23S ribosomal RNA". It matches the Rfam family "Bacterial large subunit ribosomal RNA", at positions 1 to 1190 of the family's 2925-position model. The record is from RNAcentral. Lineage: Bacteria; Bacillati; Bacillota; Bacilli; Caryophanales; Staphylococcaceae.
GAUUAAGUUAUUAAGGGCGCACGGUGGAUGCCUUGGCACUAGAAGCCGAUGAAGGACGUUACUAACGACGAUAUGCUUUGGGGAGCUGUAAGUAAGCUUUGAUCCAGAGAUUUCCGAAUGGGGAAACCCAGCAUGAGUUAUGUCAUGUUAUCGAUAUGUGAAUACAUAGCAUAUCAGAAGGCACACCCGGAGAACUGAAACAUCUUAGUACCCGGAGGAAGAGAAAGAAAAUUCGAUUCCCUUAGUAGCGGCGAGCGAAAUGGGAAGAGCCCAAACCAACAAGCUUGCUUGUUGGGGUUGUAGGACACUCUAUACGGAGUUACAAAGGACGACAUUAGACGAAUCAUCUGGAAAGAUGAAUCAAAGAAGGUAAUAAUCCUGUAGUCGAAAAUGUAGUCUCUCUUGAGUGGAUCCUGAGUACGACGGAGCACGUGAAAUUCCGUCGGAAUCUGGGAGGACCAUCUCCUAAGGCUAAAUACUCUCUAGUGACCGAUAGUGAACCAGUACCGUGAGGGAAAGGUGAAAAGCACCCCGGAAGGGGAGUGAAAUAGAACCUGAAACCGUGUGCUUACAAGUAGUCAGAGCCCGUUAAUGGGUGAUGGCGUGCCUUUUGUAGAAUGAACCGGCGAGUUACGAUUUGAUGCAAGGUUAAGCAGUAAAUGUGGAGCCGUAGCGAAAGCGAGUCUGAAUAGGGCGUUUAGUAUUUGGUCGUAGACCCGAAACCAGGUGAUCUACCCUUGGUCAGGUUGAAGUUCAGGUAACACUGAAUGGAGGACCGAACCGACUUACGUUGAAAAGUGAGCGGAUGAACUGAGGGUAGCGGAGAAAUUCCAAUCGAACCUGGAGAUAGCUGGUUCUCUCCGAAAUAGCUUUAGGGCUAGCCUCAAGUGAUGAUUAUUGGAGGUAGAGCACUGUUUGGACGAGGGGCCCCUCUCGGGUUACCGAAUUCAGACAAACUCCGAAUGCCAAUUAAUUUAACUUGGGAGUCAGAACAUGGGUGAUAAGGUCCGUGUUCGAAAGGGAAACAGCCCAGACCACCAGCUAAGGUCCCAAAAUAUAUGUUAAGUGGAAAAGGAUGUGGCGUUGCCCAGACAACUAGGAUGUUGGCUUAGAAGCAGCCAUCAUUUAAAGAGUGCGUAAUAGCUCACUAGUCGAGUGACACUGCGCCGAAAAUGUACCGGGGCUAAACAUA